AGCGGUAUGGUGUAGUGGUUUGAGCACAGAACUAUAACUCUGGAGAUGAGGGUUCGAUUCCCUGCUCGGCCA
This is a non-coding RNA of Phrynosoma platyrhinos (Desert horned lizard), 72 nucleotides long. The record is from the annotation of a GenBank genome assembly. Lineage: Eukaryota; Metazoa; Chordata; Lepidosauria; Squamata; Phrynosomatidae.